This 815-nucleotide ribosomal RNA is filed under the name uncultured Bacteroidota bacterium. RNAcentral's name for it is "bacterial SSU rRNA". It matches the Rfam family "Bacterial small subunit ribosomal RNA", at positions 69 to 884 of the family's 1533-position model. Lineage: Bacteria; Pseudomonadati; Bacteroidota. The record is from RNAcentral.
UAAGUAGUGUAGCAAUACAUUGCCUAGAGUGACGUACGGGUGCGUAACACGUAUGCAACCUACCUAUAACAGGAGGAUAGCUCGGGGAAACUCGAAUUAACCCUCCAUAAUAUAAUUGAAUGGCAUCAUUUGAUUAUUAAAACUCCGGUGGUUAUAGAUGGGCAUGCGUCUGAUUAGUUAGUUGGCGGGGUAAAGGCCCACCUAGACGAUGAUCAGUAGGGGAACUGAGAGGUUGAUCCCCCACACUGGCACUGAGAUACGGGCCAGACUCCUACGGGAGGCAGCAGUAGGGAAUAUUGGUCAAUGGAUGCAAGUCUGAACCAGCCAUGCCGCGUGCAGGAAGAAGGCCUUCUGGGUUGUAAACUGCUUUUAUCGGGGGAUAAAAUGACUGUGCGCAGUUAAUUGAAGGUACCCGGUGAAUAAGCCACGGCUAACUACGUGCCAGCAGCCGCGGUAAUACGUAGGUGGCAAGCGUUGUCCGGAUUUAUUGGGUUUAAAGGGUGCGUAGGCGGCCCUGUAAGUCAGUGGUGAAAUGCUCCAGCUUAACUGGAGAGGUGCCAAUGAUACUGCAGGGCUUGAGUACAGAUGAGGUAGACGGAAUUGACGGUGUAGCGGUGAAAUGCAUAGAUAUCGUCAAGAACACCUAUAGCGAAGGCAGCUUACUGGGCUGUAACUGACGCUGAGGCACGAAAGUGUGGGGAUCAAACAGGAUUAGAUACCCUGGUAGUCCACACUGUAAACGUUGAUUACUCGCUGUUUGCGAUACACUGCAAGCGGCUUAGCGAAAGCGAUAAGUAAUCCACCUGUGGAGUACG